AAGCUCGUAGUUGAAUUUCGGGGUCAAUUCACUGGUCGUGCCAAUGGUACGUACUGGUUUUGUUGAUUCCUCUCUUCUGAGGAGCCGCGAUGUCAUUAAUUUGGUGUCGCGGGGAAUCAGGACUGUUACUUUGAAAAAAUUAGAGUGUUUAAAGCAAGCUAACGCUUGAAUACAUUAGCAUGGAAUAAUGAAAUAGGACGUUUGAUCUUAUUUUGUUGGUUUCUAGGAUCGACGUAAUGAUUAAUAGGGAUAGUUGGG
This 258-nucleotide ribosomal RNA is filed under the name uncultured Glomus. Its description in RNAcentral is "partial 18S ribosomal RNA". It matches the Rfam family "Eukaryotic small subunit ribosomal RNA", at positions 624 to 886 of the family's 1831-position model. The record is from RNAcentral. Lineage: Eukaryota; Fungi; Glomeromycota; Glomeromycetes; Glomerales; Glomeraceae.